GACGAACGCUGGCGGCGUGCCUAACACAUGCAAGUCGAACGGAAGUAAGUGCUUCGGUAUUUACUUUAGUGGCGAACGGGCGAGUAACGCGUGAGGAACCUGCCUCACACUGGGGGAUAACAGUCAGAAAUGACUGCUAAUACCGCAUAAGCGCACAGCAUCGCAUGAUGCAGUGUGAAAAGCUCCGGUGGUGUGAGAUGGACCCGCGUUGGAUUAGCUAGUUGGCAGGGCAGCGGCCUACCAAGGCGACGAUCCAUAGCCGGCCUGAGAGGGUGAACGGCCACAUUGGGACUGAGACACGGCCCAG
This 307-nucleotide ribosomal RNA is filed under the name uncultured bacterium. Its description in RNAcentral is "bacterial SSU rRNA". It matches the Rfam family "Bacterial small subunit ribosomal RNA", at positions 28 to 334 of the family's 1533-position model. The record is from RNAcentral.